RNAcentral lists this ribosomal RNA (253 nucleotides) under uncultured bacterium. Its description in RNAcentral is "partial 16S ribosomal RNA". It matches the Rfam family "Bacterial small subunit ribosomal RNA", at positions 524 to 776 of the family's 1533-position model. The record is from RNAcentral.
GACGUAGGGGGCCAGCGUUGCUCGGAAUUACUGGGCGUAAAGGGUCCGUAGGCGGUGCGGUAAGUCGGGAGUGAAAUCUCUGGGCUUAACUCAGAGGCUGCUUCCGAAACUACCGUGCUAGAGUGCGAGAGAGGCAAGUGGAAUUGCGGGUGUAGCGGUGAAAUGCGUAGAUAUCAGGAAGAACACCUAUGGCGAAGGCAGCACUCUGGGACGGUACUGACGCUGAGACGCGAAAGCGUGGGGAGCGAACAGG